RNAcentral lists this ribosomal RNA (497 nucleotides) under uncultured bacterium. RNAcentral's name for it is "partial 16S ribosomal RNA". It matches the Rfam family "Bacterial small subunit ribosomal RNA", at positions 28 to 507 of the family's 1533-position model. The record is from RNAcentral.
GAUGAACGCUGGCGGCGUGCCUAAUACAUGCAAGUCGAGCGAACAGACGAGGAGCUUGCUUCUCUGACGUUAGCGGCGGACGGGUGAGUAACACGUGGAUAACCUACCUAUAAGACUGGGAUAACUUCGGGAAACCGGAGCUAAUACCGGAUAAUAUAUUGAACCGCAUGGUUCAAUAGUGAAAGACGGUUUUGCUGUCACUUAUAGAUGGAUCCGCGCUGCAUUAGCUAGUUGGUAAGGUAACGGCUUACCAAGGCAACGAUGCAUAGCCGACCUGAGAGGGUGAUCGGCCACACUGGAACUGAGACACGGUCCAGACUCCUACGGGAGGCAGCAGUAGGUAAUCUUCCGCAAUGGGCGAAAGCCUGACGGAGCAACGCCGCGUGAGUGAUGAAGGUCUUCGGAUCGUAAAACUCUGUUAUUAGGGAAGAACAAAUGUGUAAGUAACUGUGCACAUCUUGACGGUACCUAAUCAGAAAGCCACGGCUAACUACGUG